GGAUGAACGUUGGCGGCGUGCCUAAUACAUGCAAGUCGAACGAAGACUGUAGUAAUACUGUCUUAGUGGCGAACGGGUGAGUAACGCGUGGGUGACCUGCCCCGAAGUGUGGGAUAACAGUCCGAAAGGAUUGCUAAUACUGCAUAAUAUCCAAGAGAUUAGACGCUUUUGGAUUAAAGGAGUAAUUCGCUUCGGGAGGGGCCCGCGUCCCAUCAGCUAGUUGGUAAGGUAAUGGCUUACCAAGGCGAUGACGGGUAGGGGACCUGAGAGGGUGGCCCCCCACAAUGGAACUGAAACACGGUCCAUACACCUACGGGUGGCAGCAGUAGGGAAUAUUAGUAAUGGGCGAAAGCCUGAUCUAGCAACACCGCGUGUGCGAAGAAGGCCUUCGGGUCGUAAAGCACUUUUUGGAAGGAAUAGGAAGGAAUGUACUUCCAGAAUAAGUCUCGGCUAACUACGUGCCAGCAGCCGCGGUAACACGUAGGAGGCAAACGUUAUCCGGAUUUACUGGGCGUAAAGCGCGUGUAGGUGGUUCUGUAAGUAGGGCGUGAAAGCUCCCGGCUCAACUGGGAGAGGCCGUUCUAAACUACAGAACUAGAGGAUGGUAGAGGGAGGUGGAAUUCCAGGUGUAGCGGUGGAAUGCGCAGAUAUCUGGAGGAACACCAGUGGCGAAGGCGGCCUCCUGGACCAUUCCUGACACUCAGACGCGAAAGCUAGGGUAGCAAACGGGAUUAGAGACCCCGGUAGUCCUAGCCCUAAACGAUGUAGACUAGGCGUCGGAAGUUUAAUCACUUUCGGUGUCCAAGCUAACGCGAUAAGUCUACCGCCUGGGGACUACGGCCGCAAGGUUAAAACUCAAGGGAAUUGACGGGUCCCCGCACAAGCAGCGGAGCGUGUGGUUUAAUUCGUUGCUACACGAAGAACCUUACCUGGGUUUGACAUAGCAGUGGUAGGGAAGCGAAAGCGGACCGACCCUUCGGGGAGCUGUUACAGGUGUUGCAUGGCUGUCGUCAGCUCGUGUCGUGAGAUGUUCGGUUAAGUCCGCUAACGAGCGCAACCCGCGUUGUGUGUUACAAGUGUCACACAAUACCGCCGGUAUUAAGUCGGAGGAAGGUGCGGAUGACGUCAAGUCAGCAUGACCUUUAUAUCCAGGGCUACACACACGCUACAAUGGUCAGCACAAUAGGUUGCCAAGUCGUGAGACGGAGCCAAUCCUCCAAAGCUGGCCUCAGUUCAGAUUGUAGGCUGCAACCCGCCUGCAUGAAGUUGGAGUUGCUAGUAACCGCAGGUCAGCUAUACUGCGGUGAAUACGUUCCCGGGGAU
This 1323-nucleotide ribosomal RNA is filed under the name uncultured bacterium. RNAcentral's name for it is "bacterial SSU rRNA". It matches the Rfam family "Bacterial small subunit ribosomal RNA", at positions 27 to 1381 of the family's 1533-position model. The record is from RNAcentral.